UUUUUUUUUUUAAUUUAGAAUUAAAGUUUUUAAACUGGAAGAUAAUUAUAAUUUUGAAAACUUUAAAGAUGAUCUCAUUUGGUUUAUACAUACACAAGGAAGAUUUUUGUCUUGUCUCUAGCAGUUUCCAUAUUUUGGUCAUAGUUUAAACAUGUUAACAUGUGAAUUAAUAGGGUUUCAUGUGGUUUCAGAUUUUUAUUGUUCGACUGUACAAUGGAACCUUAAGUCAUAUAUACAUAUAUAGAUUAUCCUGAGGGGGGAUGUUAUAUUUUUCUGUUUCUAUAAGAGAUGAAUACAGUGGAUACUUUUUUAUUGGUAAUGACUGAGUUCACUUCUUUCAGAAGACAUCUUCUCUUCUGAGUAGUUGAGACAAAAAUCUGGCCCCUGUGAGACCCUGGGAAUCUUUCAGUCUGUUGAAAUACCAGGUUAAACACAUUCCAAGAGAUCUGUGCAAACUAAAUUCUUUUGUAUACUUCUAAGGUGCCUGAGACAACAAGACUUCAUUUAUUUAUGGAAAGUGUGCUUUAUCUUGGGAGUUGUGCUCAAGCAUUAGCUUGCUGUCUGUAGAAUGAGUGCUUCGGAGCCUGACAUGAAACCAUCUCAAGAGCCCACAGGUCCCAUAACAUUCGGUUGCUUUUCUGAACACUGUCAACAUCACAUCUGUCUUUCUGAAUAAUCCUAUAUGCCGCAUGGCACUGGUGUGAAACAUCACUGUACUGGAAGAAUUAGUAGAGGACUUCAGUAAUGUACCUGAGCUAAAAUGACCGAGGCGUUAGGGGUGCACAGAAACCACCAUGAUUUGUAUAACAUUUUGAAGUGAAUUAAUAUUUUUGAACAUGCUUCUUCAACAGCCAGUGUUAUAUUUUUCAGAUCAACACAAAGCACAAUGGUUACUACUCUAUAAACUCAAUAUUUUCAAAUUCACAUAUUUAAAGUCAUGCAAGCUGCAACUUCCCUGUCAGAAUUACUGGCUGCCAAAUUUAUACCUGUUUCUUCAGCUGUACUUUUUGAUAUUUAGAAUUUUUAAAUUUCUGUAAAGUAGGUUUUGUAGACUGUAAUGUGUUCACUGCCUUUGUGAAGCGGUAUAUUGUAUAAUUUCGUGUGUAACUGAAUGCUUGGGCUUUCAAUACAGUAUUCAUAUAAAGCAAUAAAUAUUAAUGUUAUGAAAUAUUGGAGUACAUUUUUAUCAAAAUACAAAAUCUCUUUUUUAGUUUCAGACAUCUGAGGUACAGGGAUGGACCUAAUAGCUGAUACAAACAGUUUCUCACACUUUAUCUAUCCUAAGCUUCGGGUGAUCAGAGGGAAACCACAAGGUUUGCAUUUUGACUGCUUAGACGUUACUAUGGCUAAAAAGAUAUUUGGCUCCGUUUGUUCAUAAAGUAAUAUGCUACUGACUGAUGACCUUCAGGUUCACAGCAGCUGGACAGUAGAUUUAUGAAUCUGUCUAGUAAAACUGUCGAUUUACUGUACCCAAAGGGGUGAAAGUCAAAUGUAACUUCAAGUUUUUUGGCAAAAAGAUUAAAAUGAAGCAAAAUUUAAGUGUGACAUUCAUUUGUAAUGGCCUGUUAGAGUUGAGGGAUUGACAGUAAGAGCAGAUUUUAAACAUUUUAGGUUUAGAGUUUUUGAGAUUUUCCUUAGGAUAUUUAUGAGGUUGUUGUCAAUAAACCUGUUCUCUAAGCUCCUGUGACCUUUGAUAGUCUUUAUUUAUGGUGCCAUGGACCAUUUACAAACAAGUCAGUUUGCUGUUGGUUAAAAGUUGAAGAUUUCGCAUCAUGAAUAGAGGUCUGUGGCUUUAUUUGUAAACUUGCAAUUGCUAUCUUUGCAAGGGGAAGUGUAUUUCUUUAUUAAAUAAAGUACAAUUAAUAAUGGUGAAUGUACCAAAAUGACAUCACUCAAUUCUAUGAGAGGUCUGCAUUUUAACCUAUAGUUUAAUAGCUUUAAUAUUUAUUAGCUAUUCCUAUGUUGAUCAUAGAUGAAAGUUGUUGCUGUUUAUACAGAUACACGUAGGAUACUGGUGAAGGGUCUCUAGGGCAGUUGUAAUAUUCAUCACCGUGUGAGGCCAUGUUCAGACUGUGGAUGCAUUGGUCCCUUGGAAGUCCAUUUCCACACGUGGUGUUAGAUGCACUUACAGGAGACUGCAGGAAAGUGUCAGUUCUAAUGAGCACUGAGUCCUUUGUGAGUGACAGAAUGAGACCCAAGAGGGAGGGUCAAGCCGUCCCGUGGCUGAAGUAGCUGGCUCUUUGAUGUUGAACAGAUUCCUAACCGGGUUCUCCUUUCCCAAGCCUAACUCAGAUCUGGGCAGUGCUGAUGGUGCUGACAGAAUACACAUGACAUGGUUUUGCCACCCCUCCCUUUUAAAAAGUGAAAACAUUUUGAAAACUCUAUAAAGUUCUGUACAUGUAGAACAGAAGUGAGUAGUGAAAAUAUAUUUUGAGGAUUAGUAAACUUAAUCCACUUAAUUGUCACAACUCCGGUCUUUCCCAUAUGUAGCCAGAGCAAUGGAGUUACAACUCUGGCUUUCGAAAGCUAUUCCAGAAACCCUGCCCCAGAAAGUCUUAAAGCAUUGAGAUCCUUGUGUUUUAUUUUGGCAGUGUAGAUAGGCAUGUAUUUAUGCAUUUGUAAAAUCAAUUUUUUUCAAAUAAUGUAUGUAAUGUACUAGCUUAAACGGUACUGGGCAGAGCCUAGAGCUACUGCGAGGAUUGAAUGUGAAGCCGGUAUCGCGGGUGGAAAUGUACCUGCAGAGCUACAGCAAACUAUUCCGGGUAGUGUUUCAGGCUGCCUUUGAGCAGGAGUUUCUUAGAUCUAUUGGUUUUGACAAACUGAAGAUCAGUUCUUGAGAUUUGUGUUAAUCAUGAGAUGAAUGGAUGCAAAAAACACCUUGUAAUUUCAUGUGGAAUUAUGAAAAUUAGCUUGAUGGGAUAUUGGCCUAACAAGGAUGAUGGUAUGUACUGGCUAGAAUACAUAUAUUUCACAUAUAAAAAAUAAUCCGGACACCAGAAUUCUCUUCUUUCAAUUUGGAGCCUAGAUCGAUCACUUUGCCAAAUAAAUGUAUUAUUUUCAUAAUGCAAUAAAGUGUAAACUAGAUG
Molecule: long non-coding RNA, 3086 nt
Filed under: Mus musculus (house mouse)
Lineage: Eukaryota; Metazoa; Chordata; Mammalia; Rodentia; Muridae
Description: long non-coding RNA chr6:100866842-100869928
Source: RNAcentral